Molecule: small nucleolar RNA, 130 nt
Filed under: Caenorhabditis brenneri
Lineage: Eukaryota; Metazoa; Nematoda; Chromadorea; Rhabditida; Rhabditidae
Description: snoRNA CBN33662
Rfam family: Caenorhabditis snoRNA ceN42
Source: Rfam by way of RNAcentral
AUUCCUUCUUAUCCUGCACACAGUUUGUUCAUUGGCUGUGGAGCCUGGAAAUGGAGGAGAAAUUAAAAUAAAGAAUAACAAUGUCUUCAUUCCUUAUAGAGCUAUGGAGAGUGUUUGAAUUUGAACAUUU